UCUUCCAGCCAAGAAUAUUGCUAUUCCAGAAGAUCUGAAUGAAAAAGAGAAUCAUGCUGGAAACACUCAGCAGUUUGAGCAGCAUUUGAUUACAGUCCCAGUUCUGAUAAUGGAUCAUCUAACAUUGCACUUCCAUUGUUUUCUGCAUGCACUAUUUUAAUCAAUAAAGUAAAUACACAUACCCAAACUCCACAAA
Long non-coding RNA from Amblyraja radiata (thorny skate), 196 nucleotides. RefSeq lists it as uncharacterized. The transcript has 3 exons. Lineage: Eukaryota; Metazoa; Chordata; Chondrichthyes; Rajiformes; Rajidae. The record is from RefSeq and is a predicted model, not a curated record.